CACCAGUGGNGAAGGCGACUUUCUGGACGAAAACUGACGCUGAGGCGCGAAAGCCAGGGGAGCGAACGGGAUUAGAUACCCCGGUAGUCCUGNCCGUAAACGAUGGGUACUAGGUGUAGGAGGUAUCGACCCCUUCUGUGCCGGAGUUAACGCAAUAAGUACCCCGCCUGGGGAGUACGACCGCAAGGUUGAAACUCAAAGGAAUUGACGGGGGCCCGCACAAGCGGUGGAGUAUGUGGUUUAAUUCGACGCAACGCGAAGAACCUUACCAGGUCUUGACAUUGAUGGACAGAACCAGAGAUGGUUCCUCUUCUUCGGAAGCCAGAAAACAGGUGGUGCACGGUUGUCGUCAGCUCGUGUCGUGAGAUGUUGGGUUAAGUCCCGCAACGAGCGCAACCCCUAUCUUAUGUUGCCAGCACUUUGGGUGGGGACUCAUGAGAGACUGCCGCAGACAAUGCGGAGGAAGGCGGGGAUGACGUCAAAUCAUCAUGCCCCUUAUGACCUGGGCUACACACGUACUACAAUGGGAGUUAAUAGACGGAAGCGAGAUCGCGAGAUGGAGCAAACCCGAGAAACACUCUCUCCGUUCGGAUCGUAGGCUGCAACUCGCCUACGUGAAGUCGGAAUCGCUAGUAAUCGCAGGUCAGCAUACUGCGGUGAAUACGUUCCCGGGCCUUGUACACANCGCCCGUCACACCACGAAAGUCGGAAGUGCCCAA
RNAcentral lists this ribosomal RNA (719 nucleotides) under uncultured bacterium. RNAcentral describes it as "bacterial SSU rRNA". It matches the Rfam family "Bacterial small subunit ribosomal RNA", at positions 707 to 1424 of the family's 1533-position model. The record is from RNAcentral.